GAUGAACGCUAGCGAUAGGCCUAACACAUGCAAGUCGAGGGGCAGCAUAGAGUAGCAAUACUUUGAUGGCGACCGGCGCACGGGUGAGUAACACGUAUGCAACCUACCUACAUCAGGGGAAUAACCCGGAGAAAUUCGGACUAAUACCGCAUAAUACGGGGAUGCCGCAUGACAAUAUUUGUUAAAGAUUUAUCGGAUGUAGAUGGGCAUGCGUUCCAUUAGCUGGUUGGUAAGGUAACGGCUUACCAAGGCAACGAUGGAUAGGGGAACUGAGAGUGUUGCCCCCCAAACUGGAACUGAGACACGGACCAGACUCCUACGGGAGGAAGCAAUGAGGAAUAAUGGUCAAUGGACGAGGGUCUGAACCAGCCAAUUCGCGUGAAGGAAGACUGCCCUACGGGUUGUAAACUUCUUUUGUACAGGAAUAAAAGACAUUACGUGUAAUGUAUUGCAUAUACUGUACGAAUAAGCAUCGGCUAACUCCGUGCCAGCAGCCGCCGUAA
This 503-nucleotide ribosomal RNA is filed under the name uncultured bacterium. RNAcentral's name for it is "partial 16S ribosomal RNA". It matches the Rfam family "Bacterial small subunit ribosomal RNA", at positions 28 to 523 of the family's 1533-position model. The record is from RNAcentral.